RNAcentral lists this ribosomal RNA (497 nucleotides) under uncultured bacterium. Its description in RNAcentral is "partial 16S ribosomal RNA". It matches the Rfam family "Bacterial small subunit ribosomal RNA", at positions 28 to 507 of the family's 1533-position model. The record is from RNAcentral.
GAUGAACGCUGGCGGCGUGCCUAAUACAUGCAAGUCGAGCGAACAGACGAGGAGCUUGCUUCUCUGACGUUAGCGGCGGACGGGUGAGUAACACGUGGAUAACCUACCUAUAAGACUGGGAUAACUUCGGGAAACCGGAUCUAAUACCGGAUAAUAUAUUGAACCGCAUGGUUCAAUAGUGAAAGACGGUUUUGCUGUCCCUUAUAGAUGGAUCCGGGCCGGAUUAGCUAGUUGGUAAGGUAACGGCUUACCAAGGCAACGAUGCGUAGCCGACCUGAGAGGGUGAUCAGCCACACUGGAACUGAGACACGGUCCAGACUCCUACGGGAGGCAGCAGUGGGGAAUCUUCCGCAAUGGGCGAAAGCCUGACGGAGCAACGCCGCGUGAGUGAUGAAGGUCUUCGGAUCGUAAAGCUCUGUUAGUAGGGAAGAACAAAUGUGUAAGUAACUAUGCACGUCUUGACGGUACCUAAACAGAAAGCCACGGCUAACUACGUG